This 72-nucleotide transfer RNA is filed under the name Synechococcus phage S-PM2. Its description in RNAcentral is "tRNA-Met". Lineage: Duplodnaviria; Heunggongvirae; Uroviricota; Caudoviricetes; Pantevenvirales; Kyanoviridae. The record is from RNAcentral.
GGUAUUCCAGGAUCUAAACUUGAUCAGGGAACUUCCCAACCUUCAACUAACUUGGAAUUGAUUGAUAGUGCA